This is a long non-coding RNA of Nicotiana tabacum (common tobacco), 974 nucleotides long. RefSeq lists it as uncharacterized. Lineage: Eukaryota; Viridiplantae; Streptophyta; Magnoliopsida; Solanales; Solanaceae. The record is from RefSeq and is a predicted model, not a curated record.
AGAAUUUAGAAAGGAAGAAAGACAAAGUCAGAAAUGACGAUAGUUUCUUUCAGCGAGAAGACCUUUGCUAUAUCCUUUUGAUGAAGCUGCCACUGUGGCUAUAUCUACUGUCAAAGAAUUUGGCAGUGACCUCAAAGAGGACUAUUUUGAUGGUUAUGUGAAAUUGAUGAAGGGUUGCUGACGACUUUGCCCUAACUGCUUUGGGAUGGUUAACUCAUAUCACUCUUUCAUAUAUUUUCUUAAAAUUCCAUGCCAUAUGUUCGACCAAUUGGCUGAAUGACAUUGGAACCUUAGAACUAAUACAUAAAUACGAUCAAAAAUGUUUUCAUUCUAUAUAUUUUGAGACUUAAGACCUUAAACAUAUCCUUUUAUAUGCAAGCAUUAGAAAUACUUGCGGAAAAAAUUGUAUUCAUGAAGAAUCAAAGACUCCAAGUGCAUUGGAAAUAAAAAGUAACUGAAUCAGUUGACUCAGCUCUGAAAAUUGAGUGACGAGAAUUGUCUUCACAAAACCUACGACGUUUUCUCUAAGCUUUUUCAUUGUUUUUUUUUUCUCAUCCUUCUUCAUGAUUAAUUUUAGUUGAUUUCACUAGAGAAAGUUUCUCCCAUGUGGAAGCAUCAAUGUCCGUUUUUUGUAUUUUUUUUUAUUUGCGGAGUAAUUAUUUUAACUCGAAAAUUGAGGUAGUUAGAGUAUUUCGCAACUUUGCUCUGAAAAUGGCAAGUUCUCUUAUAUUUUGUGGUAAUUACUGUUUGUUUCUUCCCCUCUCCUGUUUGUUUUAUCUAACCAUUACCGACGCCUUCUCAUAUCCUGUAUACGGUCAAAACGGGCUUGCCUUUUGAUGACUGAUCGAGACUGGAAUGUGAUAGGUCAAGCUUCGGUAUUUAUCCAAUCAUGGGAUUUCUUACUGUAUUUAGAGUUGUAACUAAAGUAGGAAUCCCCUACUAUAUAAAGAGGGUCUGGUAAUUUGUAAAAGAGC